Molecule: transfer RNA, 73 nt
Filed under: Patescibacteria group bacterium
Lineage: Bacteria
Description: tRNA-Val
Rfam family: tRNA
About the family: Transfer RNA (tRNA) molecules are approximately 80 nucleotides in length. Their secondary structure includes four short double-helical elements and three loops (D, anti-codon, and T loops). Further hydrogen bonds mediate the characteristic L-shaped molecular structure. tRNAs have two regions of fundamental functional importance: the anti-codon, which is responsible for specific mRNA codon recognition, and the 3' end, to which the tRNAs corresponding amino acid is attached (by aminoacyl-tRNA synthetases). tRNAs cope with the degeneracy of the genetic code in two manners: having more than one tRNA (with a specific anti-codon) for a particular amino acid; and 'wobble' base-pairing, i.e. permitting non-standard base-pairing at the 3rd anti-codon position.
Source: RNAcentral
GGGCGGUUAGCUCAGUUGGUAGAGCACACCCUUCACACGGGUGGGGUCACAGGUUCGAGUCCUGUACCGCCCA